This 860-nucleotide ribosomal RNA is filed under the name uncultured bacterium. RNAcentral's name for it is "partial 16S ribosomal RNA". The stretch from base 34 to 599 matches the Rfam family "Bacterial small subunit ribosomal RNA", at positions 9 to 546 of the family's 1533-position model. The record is from RNAcentral.
UCAAGCNCGGUACUCGCGAAUGACUCUAGAUUAGACGUUUGAUCAUGGCUCAGACUUGAGACCGCUGGCUGUGCACAGGCCUAACACAUGCAAGUCGAGCGGUAACACAGGGAGCUUGCUCCUGGGUGACGAGCGGCGGACGGGUGAGUAAUGUCUGGGAAACUGCCUGAUGGAGGGGGAUAACUACUGGAAACGGUAGCUAAUACCGCAUAACGUCUUCGGACCAAAGUGGGGGACCUUCGGGCCUCAUGCCAUCAGAUGUGCCCAGAUGGGAUUAGCUAGUAGGUGGGGUAACGGCUCACCUAGGCGACGAUCCCUAGCUGGUCUGAGAGGAUGACCAGCCACACUGGAACUGAGACACGGUCCAGACUCCUACGGGAGGCAGCAGUGGGGAAUAUUGCACAAUGGGUGCAAGCCUGAUGCAGCCAUGCCGCGUGUAUGAAGAAGGCCUUCGGGUUGUAAAGUACUUUCAGCGAGGAGGAAGGCAUUAAGGUUAAUAACCUUGGUGAUUGACGUUACUCGCAGAAGGAAGCACCGGCUAACUCCGUGCCAAGCANCACGCGGGGUAAUUACGGGGAGGGUGCCCAAGCGGUUUAAUCCGGAAAUANACCUGGGCGUAAAAAAGGCNCCAGCCCAGNGGGGCCUGUCAAGUCGGANUGUUAAAUCUCCCCGGGGUUCACACCUGGGAAANCUGGCGGUUUCNAAAAACUUGNCCGGGCUNAAANCUUGUUAGCAAAGCGGGGGGUCGAAAUCCCGGGUAAACGGNAAAAUCGUUAAGACUCGGGGAAUAAACCCGUGGGGAAAGCGNCCCCUGAAAAUUGAGGNAUGNCANANCAGUGUGGCCAGGCAAUAACAAGAAC